This 778-nucleotide ribosomal RNA is filed under the name uncultured Neocallimastigales. RNAcentral's name for it is "partial large subunit ribosomal RNA". It matches the Rfam family "Eukaryotic large subunit ribosomal RNA", at positions 24 to 647 of the family's 3401-position model. The record is from RNAcentral. Lineage: Eukaryota; Fungi; Neocallimastigomycota; Neocallimastigomycetes; Neocallimastigales.
UAUCUCUGUAGAGUCUGCAUAUCAAUAAGCGGAGGAAAAGAAACUAACAAGGAUUCCCUUAGUAACGGCGAGUGAAGCGGGAAGAGCUCAAAUUUGAAAUCUUCAAGGUUCUACCUUGACGAAUUGUAGUUUAAAGAAGUGUUUUCUGUUAGAUGAGUAGCAAAAGUUCCUUGGAAUAGGGACAUCAUAGAGGGUGAGAAUCCCGUAUUUGGUACCAUUAUUUCCAGCUUUGUGAUACACUUUCAAAGAGUCGGAUUGUUUGGGAAUGCAGUCCAAAAUGGGUGGUAAAUUUCAUCUAAAGCUAAAUAUUGGCGAGAGACCGAUAGCGAACAAGUACCGUGAGGGAAAGAUGAAAAGAACUUUGAAAAGAGAGUUAAACAGUACGUGAAAUUGUCAAAAGGGAAGCGUUUGACACCAGUGUUGUUUUUCCGAAAAAUCAAUUACGAAUGGCUUGAUUUUGUGUUGUAUUGACCUUAUCAGCUUUCUGCACUUUUUUCGAGUCUUUCUUAAUGCACUUUUCGGUUAACAAGUCAACAUCAAUUUCUUUUGUUGUAAAAGAGUAUUCGGAAGGUGGCUUUCUUUUCGGAGAAAGUGUUUAUAGCCCUAUACUUCUACAAUCGGAGAGAUUGAGGUCUGCAGCGUAGAUCCUUCGGGGUUAGAUACACUUGUGCUAAGUUGUAGCUUUUCAUAGACAACUUGUUGACUAUGUUUAGUCAUGCGGCCUACUCGCUUGUGCUAUUUUACCUACGCUUAGGAUGUUGACGAGACUGUCGAUCUC